RNAcentral lists this ribosomal RNA (429 nucleotides) under Bacteroidota bacterium. Its description in RNAcentral is "Bacteroidetes bacterium partial 16S ribosomal RNA". It matches the Rfam family "Bacterial small subunit ribosomal RNA", at positions 355 to 776 of the family's 1533-position model. The record is from RNAcentral. Lineage: Bacteria; Pseudomonadati; Bacteroidota.
UAGGGAAUCUUCGGCAAUGGGGGGAACCCUGACCGAGCAACGCCGCGUGAGUGAAGAAGGUUUUCGGAUCGUAAAGCUCUGUUGUUAAGGAAGAACGAGUGUGAGAAUGGAAAGUUCAUACUGUGACGAUACUUAACCAGAAAGGGACGGCUAACUACGUGCCAGCAGCCGCGGUAAUACGUAGGUCCCGAGCGUUGUCCGGAUUUAUUGGGCGUAAAGCGAGCGCAGACGGUUAGAUAAGUCUGAAGUUAAAGGCAGUGGCUCAACCAUUGUAGGCUUUGGAAACUGUUUAACUUGAGUGCAGAAGGGGAGAGUGGAAUUCCAUGUGUAGCGGUGAAAUGCGUAGAUAUAUGGAGGAACACCGGUGGCGAAAGCGGCUCUCUGGUCUGUAACUGACGCUGAGGCUCGAAAGCGUGGGGAGCGAACAGG